GACGAACGCUGGCGGCGUGCUUAACACAUGCAAGUCGAACGGAAAGGCCCUGCUUUUGUGGGGUGCUCGAGUGGCGAACGGGUGAGUAACACGUGAGUAACCUGCCCUUGACUUUGGGAUAACUUCAGGAAACUGGGGCUAAUACCGGAUAGGAGCUCCUGCUGCAUGGUGGGGGUUGGAAAGUUUCUGCGGUUGGGGAUGGACUCGCGGCUUAUCAGCUUGUUGGUGGGGUAGUGGCUUACCAAGGCUUUGACGGGUAGCCGGCCUGAGAGGGUGACCGGCCACAUUGGGACUGAGAUACGGCCCAGACUCCUACGGGGGGCAGCAGUGGGGAAUAUUGCACAAUGGGCGGAAGCCUGUUGCAGCAACGCCGCGUGCGGGAUGACGGCCUUCGGGUUGUAAACCGCUUUCGCCUGUGACGAAGCGUGAGUGACGGUAAUGGGUAAAGAAGCACCGGCUAACUACGUG
This 468-nucleotide ribosomal RNA is filed under the name uncultured bacterium. RNAcentral's name for it is "partial 16S ribosomal RNA". It matches the Rfam family "Bacterial small subunit ribosomal RNA", at positions 28 to 507 of the family's 1533-position model. The record is from RNAcentral.